Molecule: ribosomal RNA, 460 nt
Filed under: uncultured bacterium
Lineage: Bacteria
Description: partial 16S ribosomal RNA
Rfam family: Bacterial small subunit ribosomal RNA
Source: RNAcentral
CCUACGGGUGGCAGCAGUGAGGCAUAUUGGUCAAUGGGCGCGAGCCUGAACCAGCCAAGUAGCGUGAAGGAUGACUGCCCUACGGGUUGUAAACUUCUUUUAUAAAGGAAUAAAGUGAGGCACGUGUGCCUUUUUGUAUGUACUUUAUGAAUAAGGAUCGUCUAACUCCGUGCCAGCAGCCGCGGUAAUACGGAGGAUCCGAGCGUUAUCCGGCUUUAUUGGGUUUAAAGGGAUCGUAGUCGGUUUGUUAAGUCAGUUGUGAAAGUUUGCGGCUCAACCGUAAAAUUGCAAUUGAUACUGGCAGUCUUGAGUAGAGUAGAGGUAGGCGGAAUGCGUGGUGUAGCGGUGAAAUGCUUAGAUAUGACGAAGAACUCCGAUUGCGAAGGCAGCUUACUAAACGGCCACUGACAUUGAUGCACGAAAGUGUGGGUAUCAAACAGGAUUAGAUACCCUUGUAGUC